This 1948-nucleotide long non-coding RNA is filed under the name Sus scrofa (pig). Its description in RNAcentral is "lncRNA (ENSSSCG00070020781.1)". Lineage: Eukaryota; Metazoa; Chordata; Mammalia; Artiodactyla; Suidae. The record is from RNAcentral.
CCGCCUCGCCCGCCCCGCCCUGGCCGCGCAGCCCGCAGCGGGCAGAGUCGGGCUGGCUGUGGGGUGCCCUGGAAAAGCGGAGAGCGCCCGGGAGGCGAGGGUGAGAGGAUAUCCCCUGCGGAGCGCGCCGGUGUGGUGACCCAAGCACCUCACGGUCACCGCCCUGCCCUGCAGUGGAGUCCGGGGCAAACGGACGUAGUUUAAGGGUAAAGAUGAACUUGGUGCUGAGACCGUGUCCAGGCUCCUUUCAGCCCAGGGUUGCCCAGGAUCAAUAGCACUGAGUGGCCAGCUAGGCAGGCAGCCGUGAUGAUUUCACACAGAAUAUUCCAAGAACUGUUGGCAUUGAAGAUGCUGCACAUGGAAAGAAAUAGAGCAACUGUGCUGAAAGUGUAAAAACUGAGGAAGCAGCUGAUGGCUUUGAUGGCCCUCAUGUGAGCCUCCAUGCUGGGGCCCCUGAAGCCAGUGGCAUUGCUCUCCAUCCAUUGGGGGUGUCUCUUGAGAGAGACCAUCAGCAGGGUGGCUGCAAGGAUGAACAUGCUCAGAGGGAUGAAGAUACCCAGGUAAAGCGUGAGAAUCAAGUUGACCACGUUGGUCCCAGAGAAGUACAGCUUCUCAGUGGAGUUGGAGGAGGGGCUAGGGAUGGAGUUCUUUACGUGCACAUUGACGAUAUCUGUAGAGAAGGGAAAACUAGAGCAGAAGGAGAACAACGACAGCCUCAAGAGCCAAGGCAACAGCACCGGCAUUAUCCCCUUCAUCGCAGCGAUCAAAGGGUUGACAGACGUAACUAAAGAAAACAGUCUAGGUGCUCUUGAAAGAAACACCUGUAAGAACAAAGACCUGGGAUGUGAAAGAUGUGAGAUCAAAACCUAUCGGACUGUCAAGAAAACAAAAAUGUCAACAAGGUUUGUUUUGGUUGUUCAUAAAAUAAGCAGUUGUGUAUUUAAGUGAAAAAUCUGCCCAGGACAUCAAAUUCUUCAGACUCAAAUUGUGAAAGAGUGCCUUUUGAAUGUAGCAGAAAGGAUGUGUCCUAAAAAGAUAGAAGCAUGUACAAAUAUAAAUGUAACCAGAAAUACUGUUGCUCAACAUCCUGGAAAUAUAGCCAGGAAAUUAAAAGAUAAAUUGUGUGAACAAGUCUUAAACGUUGUGACAUUUGCUAGUGCAGCUACUCAGAUGUAAUAAUUAGCUCUAUUUAUUCACUGUGGGUUUGAGAAUUUCUAGGACUGAAAAUAUUUUGGACAGUGUGCCCACGACAGGCACAACACUAGGAAGUAAUUAGGGAAUUCAUUUUUGGAAUAGAGGAAACUUUCAAACAAUUUUAUGGAGAUGAUGAAGGGAUAUGUGGAAAGUAACAUAAUGUCUUUUCUAUCAAAGGAAUCUUGGUUGCUCUAUUUUGCUCUGGUUUUGGCUGAAACGCCUUCCUGUGACCGCCCCCCCUUCCUUCCUCUCCCAGUAACAAUUUGUUUCAAAUUAGCCAACCAAGAAGGAUGUGCGCCCUGACCUGACCAAUGGGAAGGGGACAGGUACAUGACCUGCGUUAGGGAUAAAUAGGGAGGGUCUUUUCUUCUUUGCACGCACUUUUUGAGUACCUGUGCCCUUCUGCAGAAGUAAAGAGCCUUGUCGAGAUCUCCCCAUGUUCAUGUGUCUCAAUUUCUGGCACUGACGAUCCAAGCCGUCUCCCCAACAGAGAGAUAAGGCUAAUAUUGGACUUGCCAUUAAACUUAAGUUCCAUGUUGCAAGUUAUAUAAGGACACAGCCUUUAGAUCUACCCAUUUGCAUUAUUCAGCAGGAAUUGCUUUCUGCCAGAAGUUAAAAAUGGAACACGUCACAGACACAGAGCUCACCACCUGUAAGCUGGAUCUCUUCCUGGCGCUUGGGCCGCAGAGCAUCCUGGGCAAUUUGAUGAAGUGGACACAACACAGAUGUCUCCUCGCUGAGGUAGGUUGGGAGG